Microtus oregoni (creeping vole) is the source of this 104-nucleotide small nuclear RNA. Lineage: Eukaryota; Metazoa; Chordata; Mammalia; Rodentia; Cricetidae. The record is from RefSeq and is a predicted model, not a curated record.
UUGCUUUGGCAGCACCUAUACUAAAAUCUUGACUGAUACAGAGAUGAUUAACAUGGCCCCUGUGCAAGGGUAACAUACAAAUUGGAAAAGGAUUCCAUAUUUUU